CCCAAGAUUAAUAAAACGUUCACACUCGCGCUGGCUCGUGUGCGUGCGCCUGCUACUGCCGCCGCCGCCGCCGCCGCCGUAUUGUUGAUAACGCGAGAGUCGCGGUCUGUGUUUAUUAUGUGUGCGGCGUGAUUAGCUGUUGGUCUCCCGUCGUUUCCCGCAGCCGUCCGGCACACCGCUCACGACAACAGAACAGUACGAUUUUUUCCGAACACCCGUGCCGUCUGUCUCCUGUUCCGAUUUUUUUUGCCGGCGUCCGCGGCCUUUGUAAUACGCACACUGUUCUUCCCCGUCCUGUCCGCCUGUUUUCGUCCGGCAACGCGGUCGCGGCGUUUCUUCUUUUCGUUUCGUUUUGGAUUUUUUUUCCGGUUUUUUUUUUUUUUUUUUUUUUAAAUAUAUUUUUUUCCUUUUUUUCGUUACCUAUUCGUUCACCGUCCCCUACACCCCCCCUCCCCCCAGGACACUGAUGUACUGCUACAAAGUCGGCGGCCGCCCUUCGUGACCAACAGGCGGUGUACACGGUUAGACUUUUCUGCCAGUAGGCCGCCGUGUCGUCCCGACUAUGGCCGAGAAAUGUGUCAAGGCGCCGGCCACCGGCAACCGACCGGUACCGAUGAAGCUGUUUGCCACCUGGGAAGUUGACCGCACACCGUCCAACUGUGUACCCAGAGUAUGUUCAAUGAAUUUAACAAAACUGGUACUAACCAAACCACUGGGAUCGGAUAUGUCAUCUUCGUUGACUAUAGCUGUAAAAAUGCAAGGAUCAAAGAGAACCUUACGAACAAAUGAAUUGCCCUUAAACGUAAAUGGAUCCCUCGAAAUAGAAUUGCAGUUAAAUUUCUGUCUUCAGUAUCCGCACUUUUUGAAACGAGACGUUAACAAAUUGCACGUAAUGCUUCAACGGCGAAAAAAGUACAAAAACCGUACUAUACUUGGCUUUAAAACAUUGGCCGAAGGAGUUAUUAAUAUGUCACUUGUACUACAAAGACCUCUUGAUCUCGAACUAGAACUUUUAAGUGAUCCCAAAGAUCCCAAGUCUCUUAUUGGCCGUGUAUAUAUCAUGUGCCUAAAUAGUCAACCUGUGGAUCACGAAGAUGCUACUAAACCUGUUAUUGGAAGGGGUCAAGAUUAUUCUGAUGAAGAUGAAGAAUUUAGUAGUGGAGAAGAAGCAUCUGAUUCUGAACCAACUUUGGAAGAUAGACGAAGAAAGAAAAAUAUUGCGACUGGAAAUGCAAGACAAAGAAAUCUGAAACAAAAGUUUAUUGCACUUCUUAAAAGGUUCAGAGUUAAUGAAGAUUUGCAUGCAUUAGAAAAUGAUAGGGAGACCAUAAGUCAAAAAUUGUCAGGCGGUGACAUGGAUCCAGCGGAUAUUGAAGAUCUUUUUGAGGAACUAGAAGAUUUGAGCGAUUCUGGACCUGACUUAGAUACAUUAUCUAUUUUAUCUACACCAAAACCGUCACUUCGUCCAUUCUUUUCAAGUUCUCGCACAAAUAUGAUACACGAAGGCAUCUCAGGACGGCAUUCCCAUAAGAAAAGUCACACCACAAGUUUUCCGCCCUACAACAGAACCAAAGGUGUGCCAACCGUAGAGCGUAACAUUGAAAGAUUUAGUGAUGAAAGUUCGAAAAAAGCGGAUUCCGAUUCGUAUUUGGACACUUGGACGGAUAGUGACCCUACUCCGAUGAAUUCGUCACCUCCAAAAAUUGGCAACAAUGACGACAAAAAGGAAACUUCUGGCACGGUAGAAAAGGAAAAAGAAAAGAAAUCGAGAAUUUUCACCAGGGACCGUACUUCGUCGUCGAACAAGUACAAGAAGUCUCCGAUGCCGAAGCAGGCGAAUGACAACGAUCGCACAAACGCUAAUACCGGGGGUACUGGAGGUGCGGGAGAAAAUGUAGUCUCAACGGUUGAGCCUAGAAAAGCGUUGAUGGAACAAUUGUCAAAAGUAUUGCCGCCCGAGGAUAAAAUGCCUGAAGUAUUAUGCUUAAUACACUACGGAGAUCCAUUGGGUUGUCAGCUUGCAUCCAAGCUGCAGAAUUACAAUUUCAAAGUCAUCACACCAGCUGGAUUAGCUGACGUGCGUGCUACUUUUGUGUGCAUUGUUAACAAGAUACAGAAAUACUGUAAUUCUAACCCCAAACCUCCAAAUCAAAUGAAGAUAUUGCUUGCUGGUUCUGAUAGCUUUGUAAACUAUGUAUUACGACAGUAUGUAGAACAGUUAUCAUUCAAACCACCCGACUGGAUGAAUUAUAUUAAAUUUUAUAUCAUACCAUUAGGAAAUAACACUCUCUCAAGAUACUUGGGUACAGUCGACAGUUAUUAUGGCACAACAUUUCUGUUCAAAGAGGACUACUGGAAGGAACAAUUGGAAUGUGGUGAUGGAACAGAUAUAAUAGUCAAAAUCCAAAAUUACAUUAUGGAAGCAUCUAAUACAAUUCAGUUGCAGAUUGCUGAAGCAAUGCUAUCAUAUAAAGAAAAAAGUUCUGAUGAUGAAGCCUUACAAACAUUUAUACCAUUUGUUAAUGAUGUGAGAAUAUGCUCUGGGGAUACAGCAUCAGGAUCAAAUGAUACAGAUGAUCAAUGUUCAAUCAUCAUGGAUCGUAAGUCCAUCUUAGAUAAGACAACACCGCCCAAUUCACCAAAUAUUGGUAUGCAAUAUUUGCCUCCGCCCACAAAGCAAGUCAAUUGGGAGCUAUGCGAGCCCUUAGAAUUGCAACUUGACUAUUGGUUGGUGCCAAACACUAAUAAAGAAAUAACUACUCGAGGCAGUGAACCAAGUAGUAAACGAGUGGAUACCAAAUUCACAUUAAAGACUGGUUUUAAGAGUUUACAUAUCUCAAGACUGUUUUUGACCAAUGAAGAACCACUAUCAUUUUUCACUGUGAGCUAUAUUAAGGAGAAAAAACAAAAAAUUAUGCGACUGGGAAAAAAGAAAGAAAAAGAAAAAGACUUAGACCCCAAGAAUCAAGUAAUUGACAGUGUAUUAAGAUUAAUCUGCUCACCAAAAACUCAACAUUUUCCUCUCACAAUAACCAUUGAUGGAUAUGAAUGGAGCGGUGUGAAAUUUUUCCAAUUAUCUUCACAGUGGCAAACACACAUCAAACAUUUUCCAGUUGCAGUUUACUCACUAGAUUAUCAACCAGCAAGUUUACCGCACUUAAAUCAUGGACUGUAAACAAAUAUCUAAAACUGGUAAUAAUACAUUACUGGUAAAUUCAAUAUAAGACUUGGCUUAACCAAUCAAACCCGGCUUAAUUUUCUUAUACUUAACAUAAAUUUAAAAAAAAAAUUGAACAACCUUACAUAAAAAGUGCAGAAGUCAAAUAUUAUUAUCUUUAACAAUAGGUAUUUUCAUUAAUUUUAUUAACUGAAUUAUAUAUCAUUCAUAAUUAUAUAAAGAAACCAUUAAACCCUCGUAAUUAUUGUAAACCCUUUAUCCAAUGUUUUUAUUGUUGUAACCAAAGACUACACGUUUUAUUAUUAUAAUUAUUGUACCUAAUUAUCUUACUACUAUUUAUGUGUGAUUUUUAUUUAUUUGUGAUUUUAUAAGUUUAACUACCAAGACUUUUUUUUAUGAAAAGAAUUUUUAUAAUAUAAUAUUACUAUUAAAAUCAUUUAAAACGUUUGUAAUAACGCUUGAUAAUUAAAUUCAAUAUUAUUAUUGAAAUAUCAAUAUCAAUAGACUUAAGGAAUAUAACUAUAAUUAUUUUAUUCUUAUUAUAUUGCUAUAGCUAUUAUAAUUACUAUCAUAUUACUAUUAUUAUUAUUAUUAUUAGCAUUUUAUCAUUAUUAGUAUUAGCAUUUUAUUAUUAUUACCUAUAGAGUAGAUAUAAAUACAUCACAAUAACCAAUGGCAGUAUCUUACAUGACUAAUGGUUGGGAGACACAUUUCAUCAACAAUAUUUUAGAUCCCUGACUACUACAAUUUGGAUCAAACAGAUAGCAGAAUUGUAAGGAACAAUAUUAUCAAAUCGAAUCUCAUGAACAUAUUAACUGCCUUAUUUAACCAACAAGGCUUUAUUUUAUUUCUUUUUUCUUAGCUCAUAAACAAUAAUACACUACCAUUUAAGGGUUAAAAUCAAACGACAAAAUAAAUGUUAUUAUUGACUAUUGUAAUUAAAAAUAAAUGUGUGUGAUACCAUUCAA
Molecule: RNA transcript, 4146 nt
Organism: Aphis gossypii (cotton aphid)
Lineage: Eukaryota; Metazoa; Arthropoda; Insecta; Hemiptera; Aphididae
Gene: KrT95D
Gene name: phosphofurin acidic cluster sorting protein 1
Exons: 20
Source: RefSeq, a predicted model, not a curated record